GACGAACGCUGGCGGCGUGCCUAAUACAUGCAAGUAGAACGCUGAAGGAGGAGCUUGCUUCUCUGGAUGAGUUGCGAACGGGUGAGUAACGCGUAGGUAACCUGCCUGGUAGCGGGGGAUAACUAUUGGAAACGAUAGCUAAUACCGCAUAAGAGUAGAUGUUGCAUGACAUUUGCUUAAAAGGUGCAAUUGCAUCACUACCAGAUGGACCUGCGUUGUAUUAGCUAGUUGGUGGGGUAACGGCUUACCAAGGCGACGAUACAUAGCCGACCUGAGAGGGUGAUCGGCCACACUGGGACUGAGACACGGCCCAGACUCCUACGGGAGGCAGCAGUAGGGAAUCUUCGGCAAUGGACGGAAGUCUGACCGAGCAACGCCGCGUGAGGGAAGAAGGGUUUCGGAUCGUAAAGCUCUGUUGUAAGAGAAGAACGAGUGUGAGAGUGGAAAGUUCACACUGUGACGGUAUCUUACCAGAAAGGGACGGCUAACUACGUG
Molecule: ribosomal RNA, 495 nt
Filed under: uncultured bacterium
Lineage: Bacteria
Description: partial 16S ribosomal RNA
Rfam family: Bacterial small subunit ribosomal RNA
Source: RNAcentral